Molecule: ribosomal RNA, 264 nt
Filed under: uncultured bacterium
Lineage: Bacteria
Description: partial 16S ribosomal RNA
Rfam family: Bacterial small subunit ribosomal RNA
Source: RNAcentral
CGACCGGCGCACGGGUGAGUAACACGUAUCCAACCUGCCGAUGACUCGGGGAUAGCCUUUCGAAAGAAAGAUUAAUACCCGAUGGCAUAGUUCUUCCGCAUGGUAGAACUAUUAAAGGAUUUCGGUCAUCGAUGGGGAUGCGUUCCAUUAGGUUGUUGGCGGGGUAACGGGCCCACCAAGCCUUCGAUGGAUAGGGGUUCUGAGAGGAAGGUCCCCCACAUUGGAACUGAGACACGGUCCAAACUCCUACGGGGAGGCAGCAUG